Molecule: microRNA, 21 nt
Filed under: Vitis vinifera (wine grape)
Lineage: Eukaryota; Viridiplantae; Streptophyta; Magnoliopsida; Vitales; Vitaceae
Description: vvi-miR3627-3p
Source: miRBase by way of RNAcentral
UCGCCGCUCUCCUGUGACAAG